This 2374-nucleotide long non-coding RNA is filed under the name Panax ginseng (ginseng). RNAcentral's name for it is "long non-coding RNA (PGIN_LNC015603)". The record is from RNAcentral. Lineage: Eukaryota; Viridiplantae; Streptophyta; Magnoliopsida; Apiales; Araliaceae.
AUCGCCAGCUUAGGGGGCCUGUAUACAGCAUGAGUCGCCUCGAAGAGAGAGGCCUAGCCCUCACCCUGUGCGAGGCUCCAGCCCGAGAGAUGUGCUUACUCCCGAGUAUGAUCAUGGUCGGAUCCCUAGCCCUCGAACAGAGAGGGUUAGUCCUGAUGAUUACCGUCGUUAAGCUAGCCCAGAUUUAAAGCCUGAGCAUUAGGACAGUCCCGGAUACAAUGGAGGAGAAAGCCCUAUACCUGACAGAUACCGGAGGUAUGUGUUGGCCUGAAGGUUUUUAAAGUUAGUUUAUAUAGUUUAUCUGAAUUUUUGUUUUAAUCUGUUGUUGAUUUGAGUUUUGUGGAUAUGCAAUUUUAUAAUGUACAUUUUUUAAGUUUGUUACGAGUGUAAAGUGUUUGAAAAAAUACCUGACUGUGCAUUGGUUCGUUUAUCUAAUGCUAUACUGUCUAAAUUGAUCCUCUUGCACUGGGAAAUCAACUAAUUUAAUCGCGUUUGAGGUCAUUUUCUUGUCCAUAGCUUUUGUAAUAUAAAAUUUAGUAGUGUGGUAUGUUACAAUUGUGCAAUAAUUUGGAGGUUAUUUUGACUGUGAUAGGAUGAAUUAGAAAUAUGGAAUUUAGUUGUUGUUGUGCUUCAAGUUUAUUAUAGAAUAAUAUUAACUGCCAGUAGCCCAGGCCUUUCAUUCGGUUCCCUAGUUUUUGUAUGAUGUUGACUGUUUUUUAUUGAUGCAUGCUAAAGUGUACUUUGCUGGUUUGGCAUGGUUUGGGCCAGAUGGUCUGGUCAGCUGCUGCAAUCUUAUGCUUUUUUGGCCUGGGGCUGGACUGCUUUGACUGCAGUUGUGUCUAGGCAGCUGUGUCUACUUUUCUGCAGCUGGAGGCUGGAUGUCGUCGCCUUUCGGUUGGGUUUCCAGUUUGGUUAUACAACAUGUCUCGGCAGCUGGGUUUUGGUUGGGCAUGGAUGCUCAUGCUCCUGUUUCUCAGCCGUUCUUUCUCUUUGUUGGUGGGCCGCUGUGUUUAGUUUUAUUUGUGUUGCUGGGUUAUGUUGGGUUCAAUUUGGGGCUUCAAUUUUGUUGCUAUGACCUGCUGUGUGCUGCUGGGAAAAUUUUGGCUGUCUUGCUGUUCUGCCUAAUGUUUGGUUGUUACAGGUUUCAAUCUGUUUCAAGCCAUUUGUUUGCAGGUGUUGAGCAUGGGCUGGACUGAUUUCGUGCAGCUGUUUUCUAGGCAGCUGUUGGAUUAAAAUAGAAAGGAUGUGAUGUUUUGAUGCCUGUUUCUACUGCUGCUUGUUGCUGGUUGUUGCUUGUUUGCUGUUUGGCUUGGUUUUAGCUAAAUUUAGCAAAAAAAAAACAAGAAGAAAUUGGUGGUUACUUUUUUUGUUCCUUAUUUUGCAAUUAGAAAUCUUCUAUACUAGUCUCAUUGAUUCCUACUUUGUAAGCAGCUUCUCACAUUAGCAUACUGCUUUAUGUUAAAUCAUAUUGUGCAAGUUGGACCAGCAUCUCCAGUAGGCUUUAUGUUAAAUCAUAUCUUGGGUUAACCUCAUUUAUGGCUGCAAAAUAUUGUGGGCAGUCUAAUUUGAACUGUUUAUGAUAAUCCAACAAAAAUAUAUUUAUAGUUCCCGGUUCUGCUUUACAGACUGGAGAUUUCUCAUAACCUGAGAAAAACAUCGAAUUGUUUGUUUGGGGUUCUGGUAGUUUCUUGUUUGGUUGAUGAUAAUUCUGAAGCAAAUGCUGAAUCAGUGUCUUCUGCUUCAAAUGGCUCCAUCCCGGUAUAUUCUUAUUGAUGCAAUAAAUUUUUAUAGAUUAAUGUUCUUUUGGCACUAAUCAAAUUUGAGGUCUUUAUGUUAUUCAUGCUAUAAACUAAUCUCCAGUGUUAGUAUGCAUAGGUGGGCAGUGUGAGUUUGAUUGCGUUCACACCUUUAUACAGAUUUCAAUUAUUGUUAGGUACCAAUAAUUUUUAUAGCUUUUUGAAUUUGAAGGUUAAUGUUGAAUGUAUUAGGAUUGAUUAGUGUGGAUAGUUGGAAAAUUGUGCAAUAGUCAGUAAGUGAAAUGUGUUAAAUAUAGAUAAAAUGUCUUGUUAAUAUAUAGAUACCAACACCUUUAUGAUCAUAAUUUCCCUUCAUUUUUCUGACUUUGUUAUUAUUUUUAAAUGUGCAGGAAGACUGCUUCUACUACCUGCCUUACAAUACUGGGUAUCAAAUUUCUGUGCUACGUUUAUGGAAGACAAAGGACGAAAUUAUGAAGUGUACUCUCUCUAUAUAUGUAGAUAUAUACUUUGAUUGAAGAAAUGUGGUAGCUUUAGAUGGUUAAUUGUAAAGAUAAUUAAUGAUUAUGUAGUGGAUGAUUUUAUUAAGUUAAUAAUAUUUAGUUUUUUGUAUUUUUGCC